This 376-nucleotide ribosomal RNA is filed under the name uncultured organism. Its description in RNAcentral is "partial 16S ribosomal RNA". It matches the Rfam family "Bacterial small subunit ribosomal RNA", at positions 527 to 896 of the family's 1533-position model. The record is from RNAcentral.
GUAGGUGGCAAGCGUUGUCCGGGAAUUAUUGGGGCGUAAAGCGCGCGCAGGCGGUUCUUUAAGUCUGAUGUGAAAGCCCACGGGCUCAACCGUGGGAGGGUCAUUGGAAACUGGAGAACUUGAGUACAGAAGAGGAAAGCGGAAUUCCACGUGUAGCGGUGAAAUGCGUAGAGAUGUGGAGGCACACCAGUGGCGAAGGCGGCUUUCUGGUCUGUAACUGACGCUGAGGCGCGAAAGCGUGGGGAGCAGACAGGAUUAGAUACCCUGGUAGUCCACGCCGUAAACGAUGAGUGCUAAGUGUUAGGGGGUUUCCGCCCCUUAGUGCUGCAGCUAACGCAUUAAGCACUCCGCCUGGGGAGUACGGCCGCAAAGGCUG